AUUGAACGCUGGCGGCAUGCCUUACACAUGCAAGUCGAACGGCAGCGGGGGAGAAGCUUGCUUUUCCUGCCGGCGAGUGGCGAACGGGUGAGUAAUACAUCGGAACGUGCCCAGUCGUGGGGGAUAACGUAGUGAAAAUUACGCUAAUACCGCAUACGAUCUAUGGAUGAAAGCGGGGGAUCGCAAGACCUCGCGCGAUUGGAACGGCCGAUAUCAGAUUAGGAAGUUGGUGGGGUAAAGGCCCACCAAGCCAACGAUCUGUAGCUGGUCUGAGAGGACGACCAGCCACACUGGAACUGAGACACGGUCCAGACUCCUACGGGAGGCAGCAAUGGGGAAUUUUGGACAAUGGGCGAAAGCCUGAUCCAGCCAUUCCGCGUGCAGGAUGAAGGCCCUCGGGUUGUAAACUGCUUUUGUACAGAACGAAAAGGUUUCUACUAAUACUAGGAGCUCAUGACGGUACUGUAAGAAUAAGCACCGGCUAACUACGUGCCAGCAGCCGCCGUAA
Molecule: ribosomal RNA, 508 nt
Filed under: uncultured bacterium
Lineage: Bacteria
Description: partial 16S ribosomal RNA
Rfam family: Bacterial small subunit ribosomal RNA
Source: RNAcentral